CCAAUUUUCAUAAUUUUCUGAGACUGUGCAUUUUCUGCUAAUUUAUCUGCCCUGUUUCCAACAAAAAAUUCUAAAUCUUCUGUUUUCCCUCCGAUUUCAGCACAGGUCAUUUCUAACUCAUAUUUCACUUCUCCAAAUCCAAUAAAAAUAGUAUCUCAUACUAUUUUUAUUUUUAUAUUUAAAUCCGGUAUAUUACAUUACACCGCAACCUUACCGGAACCAUUCAAAUGGCUCUCCAACCAAAUGGACACCGUAACCUCAU
Molecule: long non-coding RNA, 262 nt
Filed under: Ananas comosus (pineapple)
Lineage: Eukaryota; Viridiplantae; Streptophyta; Magnoliopsida; Poales; Bromeliaceae
Description: long non-coding RNA (ACOM_LNC039714)
Source: RNAcentral